This is a long non-coding RNA of Xenopus laevis (African clawed frog), 926 nucleotides long. RefSeq lists it as uncharacterized. Lineage: Eukaryota; Metazoa; Chordata; Amphibia; Anura; Pipidae. The record is from RefSeq and is a predicted model, not a curated record. The transcript is spliced from 2 exons.
AGUGAUGAAUGAGACCUGUUUGGUGUAAUAUGAUUAAGUUUGGUGGUUACUUUGAACCAUUGAUGAUUUUACGCUGCCUCCAACACAUGGUGACUGUAUUGUCUAAUAAACAGAAACUUACUUAAAAAAAAAAAAGUCUCAAAUGUGCAGGUAAUAGUUACUGAUGUAGUUACACCAGGGUGGAGAUUUACACUCCCACUUCAAGCCACCUACAGCUUCUUUAAAACCUGUUUUUCUGUAAGAGAGUGAAGUGCUGUUGACUGCUUGGAACAGGUUUGACUCUACCCGCUGACGUUUGGCUCAGUGUUCAGAUGAUUGUUAAACACCCCUCAGAAGAGCGCCUGGAAAAACUGGUAAUGUCAGGUGAGACUUGCAUUCCUGGCUGAUUUUUUAGUGGCUUUGUAGGAGAUGGCUGCAUAUAUAAGGAGUGUCCUUGUCAGUGAGGAGUCUAGUCAAGAAGAAGAACACAGAGUGAAGCAGCAUGGAAAUGCAGCCUGUGCUGGGUGUGUCUGUGAUGUGAAUGUGGCUGAUCCAGCUCUGAGUGGGAGGAGCAGCCGCCUCCCUGUGCCUCACACAUUUCUGUCUCCCUGGCCAAGUGGUUCUUAACAGUUCAACAGUUCUCUAUCGAAAUUGUGAAAUGUUUAGGACCACUUGAUCCGGGGGAUUCGCUCUGCCAGGCGUCACACGGAAGCCCCAAGCUCUCUCAUGUACACAUUGCAUUUUUGGAUAAAGCCUGGAACCAUCACAGAAAAGAAACAAACGACUUGUCCUAUCUAUAUAGAAUUACUUGCUGUAUUUGUGCUUUAAUCGAAAUGGCAAGUUGAGGUGUGGAAAUGUUGUAAUAGAAUAUUGACUGAUGAAUAAUGUAUGGACUAUUGUUAUAGGACAGCUGGUGCAAAUGAUCAGGAUUAAAAUCUUUAAAUAUC